UGCUGUGCUAAUCAGGUUUAAGAUCAAGCAGGACCCACAAGACGGCGCUGAGAGUUACUUGUGAUGACCAGUUUAUAAGGGCUAACUGAACAGGUCUUUACUGCUGCUAUUAAGAAAUAAUUCAGGAGGGAGAAGAUGGAAACAAACACUCUGACAUCCUGUAUCCAGUUAGGAAAUGCUGUGACCUUCCCCGAUGUAGCUGUGAGCUUCUCCCAAGAUGAAUGGCUGUGCCUGAACCCCUCUCAGAGGAAUCUCUACAGAAACGUGAUGCUAGAGACCUACCAGCAUCUGCAGGC
Suncus etruscus (white-toothed pygmy shrew) is the source of this 296-nucleotide long non-coding RNA. RefSeq lists it as uncharacterized. The record is from RefSeq and is a predicted model, not a curated record. The transcript is spliced from 3 exons. NCBI's taxonomy places the organism in Eukaryota, Metazoa, Chordata, Mammalia, Eulipotyphla, Soricidae.